CCCUACGGGGCGCAGCAGUGGGGAAUAUUGCACAAUGGGGGAAACCCUGAUGCAGCAACGCCGCGUGAGGGAAGACGGCCCUAUGGGUUGUAAACCUCUUUUGUCGGAGAACAAAACCCGGGACGUGUCCCGGACUGCGUGUAUCCGAAGAAAAAGCAUCGGCUAACUCCGUGCCAGCAGCCGCGGUAAUACGGAGGAUGCGAGCGUUAUCCGGAUUUAUUGGGUUUAAAGGGUGCGUAGGCGGUCCGUUAAGUCAGCGGUAAAAUUGCGGGGCUCAACCCCGUCGAGCCGUUGAAACUGGCAGA
Molecule: ribosomal RNA, 305 nt
Filed under: uncultured bacterium
Lineage: Bacteria
Description: bacterial SSU rRNA
Rfam family: Bacterial small subunit ribosomal RNA
Source: RNAcentral